Molecule: ribosomal RNA, 440 nt
Filed under: uncultured bacterium
Lineage: Bacteria
Description: partial 16S ribosomal RNA
Rfam family: Bacterial small subunit ribosomal RNA
Source: RNAcentral
CCUACGGGAGGCAGCAGUAGGGAAUAUUGCUCAAUGGGCGAAACCCUGAAGCAGCAACGCCGCGUGGAGGAUGAUGGUUUUCGGAUUGUAAACUCCUUUUGUUAGAGAAGAUAAUGACGGUAUCUAACGAAUAAGCACCGGCUAACUCCGUGCCAGCAGCCGCGGUAAUACGGAGGGUGCAAGCGUUACUCGGGAUCACUGGGCGUAAGGAGCGCGUAGGCGGGAUAGCAAGUCGCAUGUGAAAGCCUAUGGCUUAACCAUAGAACUGCAUUUGAAACUGUUAUUCUAGAGUACGGAUGAGGUGGGUGGAAUUCGUGGUGUAGGGGUAAAAUCCGUAGAGAUCAAGAGGAACACUCAUUGCGAAGGCGACUUGCUAGAACGUAACUGACGCUGAUGCGCGAAAGCGUGGGGAGCAAACAGGAUUAGAUACCCGAGUAGUC